CCUUGGUACCCAAACAUUAACAGAGUUCGGAAUACUCGGUGUCCCGACGAGCUUCACGGCGGGGGGCGUGAACGCAGGGGGCGCGUCCAGGGAAACAUUUCCGCCACGUCUACUGCGGGUCCUGUAGCGGACUCUGUUUCUCGGGUGGCGCUGGGGCACUCAGUUUUAAGUCUUUUCUCCGCCUACCAGAGAGUUUGAACUCAGGGGCGGCAGUAGUCCUUGACCCAGGUUUGGCGUGAUGGAGCCAGCGUCCUCGGUUUGGGGAGGCCUCGACCAAGAUAGAGCUCCUUCUACCCCCACUUGAUAUCUGCUUAUCAGGCUAUUGUGUACCCCAGUUUCCCCUGAACGCCAUCUGCCCCCUAGUUCCAGGUUCUCUUUUGGCCUUGUACUGUAUCUCUAGCCCUAGUAUUGCAUUCCCACUUAACUCUUUCCGUCUAAUGCUGUGGCGUCUCCUGGGCUGUACCUCGGGUACCAGGGAGAGCAAGAGCACGGAAAGUCGGAGUCAGACCCCACUGCCGCAGGAUGAGUAGGAGCCCAAGCUGGUCUGAUCAGCUCCAUGCGGUUCUCAGUUCAACUGAUGAAAAUAUAGUCCGGAUUAAGGUGACCUGGCUGAUACCUGCAUUUCCAUCAUCACUUGCCUCCUCAGCUAGGGAUCCAAGCUCAACAGCCUUGGCCUCUAAAGACUCCCAGUCUUCGAAAGAGACUGAGCUGCACUGGAGCCAACAGCUCAUCCUCUCUCUGGGAUGA
RNAcentral lists this long non-coding RNA (747 nucleotides) under Nannospalax galili (Upper Galilee mountains blind mole rat). RNAcentral's name for it is "lncRNA (ENSNGAG00000024586.1)". Lineage: Eukaryota; Metazoa; Chordata; Mammalia; Rodentia; Spalacidae. The record is from RNAcentral.